GGCUGUUAAACAGCAGUCAGUACGCUCAAUGGUGUUUUAAGCCCCCAAAGUUGACUUUCAGGCAGCACUGCGACCAAUGAGUUAAAGGCUCCAAACCUUAACCCUAAUCCUAGUGCCUUCCAGGCA
Etheostoma spectabile (orangethroat darter) is the source of this 126-nucleotide long non-coding RNA. RefSeq lists it as uncharacterized. Lineage: Eukaryota; Metazoa; Chordata; Actinopteri; Perciformes; Percidae. The record is from RefSeq and is a predicted model, not a curated record. The transcript has 3 exons.